GUCUGAUAAAAAGUGAUAAAUUGUAAAUUUAUUAAUGGGGUUACUACUCCUUUUACUAGGUAAAAU
This 66-nucleotide transfer RNA is filed under the name Oligolophus tienmushanensis. RNAcentral describes it as "tRNA-Tyr". The record is from RNAcentral. Lineage: Eukaryota; Metazoa; Arthropoda; Arachnida; Opiliones; Phalangiidae.